UGACGUGCUUGCACUGAUUUNAACAAUGAAGCGAGUGGCGAACUGGUGAGUAACACGUGGGAAAUCUGCCCAGAAGCAGGGGAUAACACUUGGAAACAGGUGCUAAUACCGUAUAACAACAAAAUCCGCAUGGAUUUUGUUUGAAAGGUGGCUUCGGCUAUCACUUCUGGAUGAUCCCGCGGCGUAUUAGUUAGUUGGUGAGGUAAAGGCCCACCAAGACNAUGAUACGUAGCCGACCUGAGAGGGUAAUCGGCCACAUUGGGACUGAGACACGGCCCAAACUCCUACGGGAGGCAGCAGUAGGGAAUCUUCCACAAUGGACGAAAGUCUGAUGGAGCAAUGCCGCGUGAGUGAAGAAGGGUUUCGGCUCGUAAAACUCUGUUGUUAAAGAAGAACACCUUUGAGAGUAACUGUUCAAGGGUUGACGGUAUUUAACCNNAAAGCCACGGCUAANNACGUGCCNNCANCCGCGGUAAUA
Molecule: ribosomal RNA, 478 nt
Filed under: Levilactobacillus brevis
Lineage: Bacteria; Bacillati; Bacillota; Bacilli; Lactobacillales; Lactobacillaceae
Description: bacterial SSU rRNA
Rfam family: Bacterial small subunit ribosomal RNA
Source: RNAcentral